Canis lupus familiaris (dog) is the source of this 4865-nucleotide RNA transcript. It is a transcript of the gene named ankyrin repeat and SOCS box containing 10, with no coding region annotated. The transcript has 5 exons. The record is from RefSeq and is a predicted model, not a curated record. Lineage: Eukaryota; Metazoa; Chordata; Mammalia; Carnivora; Canidae.
AUCAGGCACAGAGAUACCAAGUGCUUGAGGAAAGGAGAAGCCCCUGGCUACUUCUCCCCUACCCAGAGGCUUGCCUAAGCCUUGGCCCAGGAGUGAAGUCAUGCGGAGCCCAGAAUAGCUUCUGCUGAACUGCGUGGCUGGGUCAGGCUCGGCUCAGGGACACAGAGACCCUCUCCGUCUGUCCCCGUUUCCCUCCUCCUCUCCCUCUCUCUGCCUCUGACCUCCUGCUGCUCCUUUCCCCGCUGCUCUCCCCACAUGCUCAUACUCUGUCCUCAUGAGCUGGUCCCCAGAAGAGUGCAGGGGGCAGGGAGAACCCUCCAGUGACAGACACGCCCUCUGUGCCAGGCUGGUGGAGAAGCCCAACAGAGGGUCUGCAGAGCACCCAGAGUCUGGCCCGGGACCCAUCGUCACCCGGACAGCCUCGGGACCUGCCCUGGCCUUCUGGCAGGCCUUGUUGGCCGGGGACGUGGGCUCUGUCUCCCGCAUCCUCACGGACUCCAGCACCGGCCUGGCUCCGGAUUCCAUCUUUGAUACCAGCGACCCAGAGCGAUGGAGGGAUUUCCGCUUCAACAUCCGUGCUCUGAGACUCUGGUCUCUGACGUACGAGGAGGAGCUGACCACCCCACUGCACGUGGCAGCUAGCCGGGGCCACACGGAAGUCCUGCAGCUGCUGCUGAGGCGGCGGGCAAGGCCUGACAGUGCCCCUGGGGGCCGCACCGCCCUGCACGAAGCCUGUGCUGCGGGCCAUGCGGCCUGCGUCCACGUGCUGCUGGUGGCCGGGGCCGACCCCAACAUCCCCGACCAGGACGGAAAACUCCCCUUGCACCUCUGCCAGGGGGCCAGCACCCUUGAGUGCGCAGAACUGCUCCUGAGGUUUGGGGCGAAAGUGGAUGGUCGGUCUGAGGAGGAGGAGGAGACCCCUUUGCAUGUGGCUGCCCGGCUGGGCCACGUGGAGCUGGCAGGCCUGCUUCUGAGACGGGGGGCCUGCCCUAAUGCCCGCAAUGCCGAAGGCUGGACCCCACUGCUGGCCGCCUGUGACAUCCGCUGCACGUCCCCCACCGAUGCUGAGGCCACCACCGCUCGCUGCGUCCAGCUGUGCCAUCUGUUGCUCUCGGCCGGAGCCGAUGCCGAUGCUGCUGACCAGGAUAAGCGGCGGCCCCUGCACCUGGCCUGUCGCCGCGGCCACGCAGCCGUCGUGGAGCUGCUCCUGUCCUGCGGCGUCAGCGCCAACACCAUGGACUAUGGGGGCCACACAGCCCUUCACUGUGCUCUGCAGGGCCCACCUGCGGCCCUGGCCCAGAGCCCAGAGCACACAGUGCGAGCCCUGCUCAACCAUGGUGCUGUCCGCGUCUGGCCUGGGGCCCUCCCCAAGAUGCAGCCUCUAACACUUGAGCACGAGCCAGUUCUUCAUCUUGCAUUCAUCCAGUAAGCAAAGCCCAACAGGGGGCAAAGGCAAGGAUAUAAACCAGCAGGAGGUGUGUGUGUGUGUGUGUGUGUGUGUGUGUGUGUGUGCAUACAUGUGCUCACACCCGAAUAUACAUGUGGGUGCAUACAUACAUAUACAUGCGAAUGUUCACACACGUGUGUGCACGUGUGAUGAUGAUGGACUGAGGGCACACAUGCAUAUACAUGCGAGUGUGCAUGCACACAUGUGUGAUGGUGGGCUGAGUGCAUACGUGCAUAUAGACACAUUUGCAUACAUGUUUACGUGUGUGUGCACAUGUGUGAUGAAGGUGGACGGAGGGCAGGAGGUCAGAUUAUCAUGCAUCUGAAAAGACAGGAGCCAGGACUGAUGUGGGUGGGCAUCAGAGAAUUGUUUCUUCAUCAGGCGAGCGAGCUGAUGAAAGAAGCGUGCAGGCAGCUCAGCCUGGCAGUGGGAUCUGUUCAGUGAGACACUCUGUGCAUGGGAGAGGCUUCCAGAGCAGAGCCAUGAGCCUGGGUCAUGAGGUUCAAACCCUCCUGAACUUUUGCAGACAGAUAUGGUCCUUGUUUUGGGGAGCUUAGCAGGACAUGCAUCACCCAGACCAGCAGCUGCUAUCCUGGCACCAGAGAGAAAACCUUUCACUGUCAAUUUCCUGCCUGUAUCUUAUUUUGUUAACAUAAAAUACUCCCCAGUAGGUUCAACCUGGAGAUCUGUGCUACUUAGGCCCUGGCAGGGGGCCCUGUCUCAUACCUCCUUGUAUCUAGAGGGGGCCAUAUACUGUCACAGAGGAUUCUGGGACUGGGGUGGGGACCCCUGUUCUCUGAGGAGCUGGGUCAGAAUGGAUACAGGGUAGCAGGCUGUGAGCAGGCCCCCUACCCCAUUUCGGGCUUGAACUGUCCAGCCCUACCAGCUCCUGGACACUCCUCUCCUGCCUUUCCCCUUCACUCACAAACCUAGAAGCAUCUAUCUAGAUUCCUAAGCAAGACCAAAUAAUUAAACAGCCCGAGAGUUCGGCAGAUUGGUCUCCCCUUUGGGAAAAUACAAGAAAAUCAACAAUUAACACUAAUUAAUCUCCUAUUAACACCAGAUAAUUAGGAGACAAGCAAUCCCCCUGUAAUCUGACGGUGGCUCUGACAGCUAAUGAUUUCCCCUUCAGGGAGGGGUGGGAGGAGGAGGCGGAGCAGCAGACAGAUUUCCUGAGACCUGGUUACCCAUUCCCCCAGCCCUGAUCUGCCCUGCCUUAGGGACCAAAGGGGCUGGCACAACCAAGUGCCCCAUUCCUCCCUUCAUUUGAGUGCCGUAUCCCAGGUGAUUGAAAAGUUCAGGAAGGAGUCUACCUCCGUCUCCUACAAUCUGCAACUGCUCCACACUUGGCUGAGGUGCCUAUGUCCCUGCAAGGAGUCAUCUAUGAUCACUGCCAGCCUCAGCCAGCUCUCCAGGAGCCACUGGGUGCUCAGGAAACCUGGAGUGAGGGUCUGGCUUUGAUGCUUGUUCCUGUGACUAAUAGGCAAGUCACUGGAACUCUUUGAAUGCAUGUUCCUUGCAUGUAAUACAGUCUCGGCCUACCAGUCUCUACCUAGUGAUAAAAAGCUCUAGGAGCCCCGUGGGUAACAGUAGGAACAAGCACAGCCCUGAGCACCACCCGACAGUAUUCUAUGGUGUGUCAGCUGCUUCAUGGAUGCCUUCAGUUCUCCCAACAAACUCUGAUGUAAGUGGCUGACCAAGAGUGCAGGCUCUGGAACCUGGCACCCUACCCAUGUGACCCUUGGCAAGUUGCUUAAUUUCUCUGGGCCUCAGUUUUCUCAUCCAUAAAACAGGGACCGAAGAGUGUGCCUGCUUCAUAGGGUUAGUAUGAGAACUGAGCUCAUAUGUAUAAAGCCCAUUAGACAGGGCCUAACGUGGAGUUAGUGCUCAACACCUGUUAGCUCCUGGUUUUCUUGGUUAAAUAAUGUGUGGGAAGGCUGCUGGGCAUUAUGCCAAUGUAAGGAGAGAGAGAUGCAGGUUGAACAGCCUCAGGGGACUUCCUGGAGGGGCUAGGACUGGGGAUGGGCAGGGCUUGGAGAUGGAGGAGGAAGGCACAGGUAUUUCAGGCAGAGAGCCGUGGCAGGAAUCAGCAUGGCCUAGAAGGCACAGAGAGACCCCCGCCUGAACGGCAGACAGGGGUAGCAGGGAAGAGCAGGACAAUCAGAUGGGACCAGCCUGUUCUUUCCUAGAUCUAAGGAGGAGGAGUAAGUCAGAGACCCACUCUGGGCAGACGGGAUGGGGCAGCUCUAGUGAGCACUGCUGAGAUGCAGGUCAAGAGGCAGAGGGCUCCAGGUGUGUGAGAUACUUUCUCCAGGGGCCCCUGCUCCCACUACUCAGCAGCACCCAGUGCAUGCAGCACCCUAGCCUGCCAGGUAGGGGCGUCUCCUAGUAGGCAGUGGUUUUAAAGCCCCUAAUGUUGCAUGCAAGUGUGUGUGCGGGGAGAGGAGUGUCAUGUAUAGGAAUGCUGCCGGAGAGAUAGUACUUAGCUGUUUUCAGAUUUUACAAAGGGUUUGUGGCUACUGCCUAUAGCUUGAGACACAGUAAGAGAUGGAAUGGAUAAGCACAAAUCUGCUUCUAGCUAGUACAUGCAGACUCGGGUGAGUAUGAUGGCAACUGUGUGUGUCCAGGCCGGGUGUGGCUGUCUUUCUUUCCACGUGGACAGUCUCUGGCAUGGGCUGCUCUCCCAGCAUGGCUCACCCUACACUGCACCAGGUCAUCUCCUCAGAGAGGCUUUCCUUGACCACUCAUCUAGGACAGUACCCUCCCGACACUGAAGUCCCCAAAUCUACUUAUUUUUCAUUGUAACAGCUUAUCUGUAAGUGGUUAUUUAUGUGUUGAUUGUUUUUUCCCACUGAAAUAGAAGUUCCCAGCUGACAAAGACCUAUCAUCCCCAUUGCUGGGUCCCUGGUGUUUGGCCCAUAGUGGCCCUCAGUAAACAUUUACUAAAUGAUGAAAUGAAAGAAUGAGUCUGGCUCCACCUUGAUCCCACCACCACUCUUUCAUCAGGCCUCUGCUGGCCUCAUCCCUUCUCUCUGAAUCCCCGCCCUAAUGACCUCAUUUUAACUUGAUCACAACGGCAAAGAUCCUAUUUCUAAAUAGGUCAUAUUUAUAUGUACUGGGGAUUAGAACUUCAAUGUAUUUUUGCAGAGGGGACACAAUUCACUGCACGGCAGCUGUUCUGUCAAUGUCUGGUCACCUUGUGUGGACUGGCUAAGCACCUGCAGUGGGUGGUAACCCCAGAAACACUGACACCUCUCUGCCUUCUCCAGGUACUGGAGCGCUGGUGCACAUCUCCGAGGACUAUCGAGGUCCUGAUGAACACCUACAGUAUCAUGCAGCUUCCUGAGGAGGCCAUGGCCCUGGUGCCUCUUGAAACUCUGCAGAAGCACCACCGUUUCUAUUCCUCCCUCUUCGCCUU